RNAcentral lists this ribosomal RNA (254 nucleotides) under uncultured fungus. Its description in RNAcentral is "partial small subunit ribosomal RNA". The stretch from base 120 to 254 matches the Rfam family "Eukaryotic small subunit ribosomal RNA", at positions 733 to 864 of the family's 1831-position model. The record is from RNAcentral. Lineage: Eukaryota; Fungi.
GGAACCGGAGGGAUCGAUCCGCCGCAAGGCGUGCAUCGACUUUCCGUUCCUCACUGUGGGAUACUCACCGGUGCUCUUCACUGGGUGCCGGUCCAAAGUGGCGUUGCCUACGGACAGCGUCAUGGGGUUCCCAUUCGUUUACUUUGAAAAAAUUGGAGUGUUCAAAGCAGGCAUAAAGGGGCCUUGAACAAUACAGCAUGGGAUAAUAGAAUAGGACACAGGUCCUCAUUUUGUUGGUUUCUAGGGCUUGUGUA